GUAUGGUACCUUGAAAAUUGUUAUUGCUCAUGAAAAGGAACUCAAGGCUACUGCACAGACCAAGGUUACUUGGAAUAUUUCCAGACAACUCGUUUUGGGAAACAUCCAAUCCAUUCAAAUUGAAUAAAUUGCCUAUUUCAUUAGGGAAGGAUCCAACCAAAUGAUUUUGGGAUAGAUUUAGUUUUAUUAAUUUGGAAGAAGCUGGAAAAAGUUGUUUUGGUAUAGAUCCACUAAAAUUAUUACUUGAAAGAUGUAGAAAUAAUAGGCUAUGGCAAUUUCCAAAGCUGGAAGGGAUGUUGCCUUGCAAUUUGUUUCCGUCCAAUUGAAGCCUAAUCAGAGAUGAUAAGUUUCCAAUGGAUGAAGGAAUUUCUCCAAAUAAUCUAUUUCCAUCGAGAAAUAGUUCCUGUACUUUCAGAAGCUUACCGAUUUCCGUGGGAAUAGUUCCUGUAAUCUGAUUAUUUUGCAAGAUUAUUCUUGGUAAGUUAACAAGAUCAAAUAAGCCUAGGGGCAGGCUACCAGAUACUCGAUUACUCGCAAUUGCUAGCAUUCGAAGAGUGGAAGAGAGAUUGGCAACCAAAGUAGGCAAUGCUCCUGUAAACUGAUUAUGGGAUAAAUCCACAUAUUCCAAACUGCUACAGUUGGCCAUAGAUGUGAUGAAGUGUAAAUCAUCAUCAUAUCUUUGACCUCCAAGACUAUUUCUCGCUAAAUUAAGAUAUUGAAGCUGUUUAAGGAGUCCAAACUGGACAAGCACUUUCCCACUGAAAUUAUUGAAUUGUAAAGAAAUUGCUUGAAGUUUUGAGGCAUUGGAUAGUGAUAGUGGAAUUGAUCCACUGAGGUAGUUAUCAUGCAGUUGAAUUCUCCGUAGAUGAGGUAGGAGGAUGCCCAUGUCUAAUGGAAGAUUUCCAUGAAGCGAAUUACCACCCAUGGAGAAAAAAUUGAUGGAAGAAAUAUUAUAAAUGACUGGAGGGAUGAUACCUGAGACAUUGUUGUAACUAAGUUCGAUUGCGGACAAGUGAUUUAGUUGUCCCAGUGCAUCUGGAAUACCUCCACCAAGGAAAUUUGAAGGGACAGCCAAAGUUUCCAAUGAGCUCAGGUUCCCGAUAAAAGGUGGAAGGGCUCCCGUCAAGUAAUUGUCACCGAGCCAAAGUUGUCUAAGCUUAGACAAAUUGGCAAGCUCAAUUGGAAUGUUUCCUUCUAGCUUGUUCUUUUCUAAGACCAGCCACCUGAGGUUUGAACAGAGGGACAAGUUCAAUGGAAUUUUCCCUUCAAAUUGGUUGAGAAACAGCACUAAAACUUUCAGCCUAAACAACCGGCCAACUUCAGCUGGGAUUUUACCUUGGAGGCUGUUGUUGCCCAGUCUUAUCUCCCUAAGGAAACUCAUGUUUCCUAAAUAAGGAGACAAAGAACCCACCAAUCCUUUAGAUUGAAGAUCAAAAAUGGUGACUCUUUUGUGUUUGCGACCACAUGUGACACCUUCCCAGUUGCAAAAAUGGGCAGAAAGAUUCCAUGAACUCGUGGCAUUAUGAGGAUCUUGGACGAUCUUUGACUUGAAUUCUAAUAAAGCAAGACGAUCCGUCUCAUUCCCACCGACAGUUGUGGCAGCAUCAAUGGAGGGAGCUUUGAAGCUUAGCUGCAUAAGGAGCAAGAGGACAAUGCAUUCCUCGGAAAAUGGAAAGCAUACGCCCCUCAUUUCUGAACAAGCUGCCGUUGGAUUUUUU
RNAcentral lists this unclassified non-coding RNA (1718 nucleotides) under Hevea brasiliensis (rubber tree). The record is from RNAcentral. Lineage: Eukaryota; Viridiplantae; Streptophyta; Magnoliopsida; Malpighiales; Euphorbiaceae.